RNAcentral lists this unclassified non-coding RNA (359 nucleotides) under uncultured fungus. RNAcentral describes it as "partial contains small subunit ribosomal RNA, internal transcribed spacer 1, and 5.8S ribosomal RNA". The stretch from base 1 to 73 matches the Rfam family "Eukaryotic small subunit ribosomal RNA", at positions 1759 to 1831 of the family's 1831-position model. The record is from RNAcentral. Lineage: Eukaryota; Fungi.
UCAAACUUGGUCAUUUAGAGGAAGUAAAAGUCGUAACAAGGUUUCCGUAGGUGAACCUGCGGAAGGAUCAUUAAUGAAAUCAACUUGGUUAGGUUGUUGCUGACCUUCUAGGAGGUAUUUUGUGCACACCUGACUUAAUGUUAUUUUAAACCACCUGUGCACCUUUUGUAGUCUUGAAUGAUUACUCGGGUUUUCAUUAACUCGGAUUUGAGGAUUGCUUUGAGUAGCUCUCCUUUCACUAUUCAAGUCUAUGUUUAUUAUACACUAUGUUUUUAAAAUAAACAAUGAAAUGGUUAUAACAUGUUAAUACAACUUUCAACAACGGAUCUCUUGGCUCUCGCAUCGAUGAAGAACGCAGC